AGACUUAAAAACAUACUUGAGCCACAAGACUUUGUGAGUAAGAUAUGUUUCUGCUCUAUCUAUCUGAUCAAAUUUAAAACUUAUCUGAGGGAAAAUGUCUGAGUUUCUUGAUAUUUCUAAUAUGAUGUCAAGUUGCCUGGGUAAAUAUCACUCUUCCUAUAGUCCUACUAUACAGGGUUUUUUCUUUUCUCUUGGAGAUGCCUUCUUAGCUUGUUGAUUGAGGUAUUGCAUUCACUAAUCUUGUAUUUUUUAUUCUCUUUGUUUUAUUAUUAAAGGAAAGUGAUGUUCCAGAAUCUGCAGUUGCCAAACUCUUUGCAUCUGCUAAGAAGAAUGGUGCACAAUUUAGUCAAUAUGGUGCUGUUUCCCACUGCUUGCAGCAUUUGCCUUCUGAAGGACAACUGCGGGCCUCAGCUGCUGAAGUUCAAAGUCUUCUGGUUUCUGGGAGAAAGAAAGAGGCUUUACAAUAUGCACAAGAGGGUCAAUUGUGGGGUCCUGCCCUAGUUCUUGCUGCACAACUUGGUGAUCAGUUCUACGUUGAAACUGUGAAGCAAAUGGCACUUCGCCAGUUGGUUGCUGGGUCACCUUUGCGAACAUUAUGCCUGCUAAUUGCUGGUCAACCAGCUGAUGUCUUCUCAGCAGAUUCAACUGCUGAUAGUAGUAUGGCUGGUGCUG
Molecule: long non-coding RNA, 672 nt
Organism: Olea europaea var. sylvestris
Lineage: Eukaryota; Viridiplantae; Streptophyta; Magnoliopsida; Lamiales; Oleaceae
Exons: 3
Source: RefSeq, a predicted model, not a curated record